RNAcentral lists this non-coding RNA (28 nucleotides) under Bombyx mori (domestic silkworm). Lineage: Eukaryota; Metazoa; Arthropoda; Insecta; Lepidoptera; Bombycidae. The record is from RNAcentral.
UAAACCUCAAAAUCCAGGCGGUAACCUU